Molecule: microRNA precursor, 103 nt
Filed under: Medicago truncatula (barrel medic)
Lineage: Eukaryota; Viridiplantae; Streptophyta; Magnoliopsida; Fabales; Fabaceae
Description: miR156j stem-loop (mtr-MIR156j)
Gene: mtr-MIR156j
Source: miRBase by way of RNAcentral
ACAUAGAAAUUGACAGAAGAGGGUGAGCACAAAAAAAGUCUUUAGUAUAUAAUGUUUAUACCAUUAUUUUUGUGUGCUCAUACUCUUCUGACAAUUUUCAAUG